UGAAGUUGGAUUCGCUAGUAAUCGCGCAUCAGCCAUGGCGCGGUGAAUACGUUCCCGGGCCUUGUACACACCGCCCGUCAAGCCAUGGGAGCCGGGGGCGCCUGAAGUCCGGGACCGCGAGGACCGGCCUAGGGCGAAACUGGUAACUGGGGCUAAGUCGUAACAAGGUAAC
This 172-nucleotide ribosomal RNA is filed under the name uncultured bacterium. RNAcentral describes it as "partial 16S ribosomal RNA". It matches the Rfam family "Bacterial small subunit ribosomal RNA", at positions 1321 to 1500 of the family's 1533-position model. The record is from RNAcentral.